AUAUAGUAAAACCACAACCACUGUGCAAAGAUACUGAAGGACAUGCCAGCACUAGUCUGCAAGAAAGUGCAACAGCCACUACCAGCUCCAGAACAACACCAAAGAAAUCUUCAAAAAGAACCUUUGACGAGACUUUCAUCAACCAGCAAGAGCGCAUGAUGACAUGCCUUGAAGCCAUUCAGGCUUCUUUAUCAACAAUGGUUGAAUUAAAAAAAGAAAAAUUACGUUUGCUCUCAGCCCAAAAGGUCAGCGACCUGAUGUCUGACACCGAGUUGUUACAUGUUUAUGAAUCUUAAAUGUUCUUGUUAAAUGGACCUUUUUAAAGAUCUUGGCAUGUAUGGAAGUGUGUUAUUAAAUGUUUUGAAUUGAUUAAGUAAUCAUUAUGCCCCCCUUCGAAGAAGAGGGGGUAUAUUGCUUUGCACAUGUCUGUCGGUCGGUCCAUCCACCAGGUGGUUUCUGAAUGAUAACUCAAGAACACUUGGGCCUAGGAUCAUGAAACUUCAUAGGUACAUUGAUCAUGACUCGCAGUUGACCCCUAUUGAUUUUCAGGUCACUAUAUCAAAGGUCAAGGUCACGGUGACCUGAAAUAGUAAAAUGGUUUCCGGAUGAUAACUCAAGAACGCUAAUUGCUACGAUCAUGAAACUUCAAAGGUAGAUUGAUCAUGACACGCAGAUGACCCCUAUUGAUUUUGAGGUCAUUAGGUCAAAGGUCAAGGUCAUGGUGACCCGAAAUAGUAAAAUGGUUUACGGAUGAUAACUCAAGAACGCUUAUGCCUAGGAUCAUAAAACUUCAUAGGUACAUUGAUCAUGACUCGCAGAUGGCCCCUAUUGAUUUUCAGGUCACUAGGUCAAAGGUCGAGGUCACAGUGACAAAACAUACUCACACAAUGGCUGUCACUACAACAGAGAGCCCAUAUGGGGGGCAUGCAUGUUUUACAAACAGCCCUUGUUUUAACUAAAAAGCUCCAGUAAAAAAACAGGAAAAAUAAUAAUUUGGAAAGUUUUGUCGUUAUCUUUAUAUUUUCUGACAUUUACAAUGAUUGCUAGACUUUUACUCCAAUAGUAAGUGGUUUGCAAUGAAUAAAUACAUUGUAAUAUGAAUUCUAUGUAUUUUUAUGAUUUUUUAUGAGGGAGAUACAGUUUCAUUAUUUCGUCUGCUGAAUGUUAAAACUAGUGUAACUGACAUAUUGUAAAUUUUUCAUGAGAAAAUUAUGCACAAAAUACAUAAAGAGCUCUUACAUUACUCUGCCCAUUUAAUGAUGUUUGUCACCAAAAUAAACAAAAAAAUAAAACCAGUAACAUUUUAUAAACAUGUCAGUUACACGACUUUCAACAAUCAGUAGAAAAUAAUUUCACUGUUGUAAAUUUUAAUAUUGUUUACAU
This is a long non-coding RNA of Dreissena polymorpha, 1383 nucleotides long. RefSeq lists it as uncharacterized. Lineage: Eukaryota; Metazoa; Mollusca; Bivalvia; Myida; Dreissenidae. The transcript is spliced from 3 exons. The record is from RefSeq and is a predicted model, not a curated record.